CAGCAGCCGCGGGAAUACGGAGGGGGCUAGCGUUGUUCGGAAUUACUGGGCGUAAAGCGCACGUAGGCGGCUUGGUAAGUUAGAGGUGAAAGCCUGGAGCUCAACUCCAGAAUUGCCUUUAAGACUGCCGAGCUAGCAGGUGAGAGAGGUAAGUGGAAUUCCGAGUGUAGAGGUGAAAUUCGUAGAUAUUCGGAAGAACACCAGUGGCGAAGGCGGCUUACUGGCUCAUACUGGACGCUGAGGUGCGAAAGCGUGGGGAGCAAACAGGACUAGAUACCCCUGUAGUCCCUGUCUCUUAUAC
RNAcentral lists this ribosomal RNA (301 nucleotides) under uncultured bacterium. RNAcentral describes it as "partial 16S ribosomal RNA". It matches the Rfam family "Bacterial small subunit ribosomal RNA", at positions 509 to 807 of the family's 1533-position model. The record is from RNAcentral.